Molecule: long non-coding RNA, 517 nt
Organism: Argentina anserina (silverweed cinquefoil)
Lineage: Eukaryota; Viridiplantae; Streptophyta; Magnoliopsida; Rosales; Rosaceae
Exons: 2
Source: RefSeq, a predicted model, not a curated record
UGGAGGAGCGUUGGACUUUGCAUCCAUUGUUCCAUUAGACACAUAAGUUGCAUAGAUUUUCUGUGAAAUAAAAGGAGAGAGAUGUGUUGUUGGAUCAUCGAGUUUGUCCUAGGUUCUGUAUGGGCCCUUAUUGUUACCUGUGUUACUGUUCUGACUUGUUGCUGCUGCUGCGGCUGCUGCGGCGUCUUAGGUGACGUCGAGAGUAUGAAUCAAAGGUUGUUGCGCAGUUGAGACUGGAGAGUACUUGGCUAUUUUGCUCUAUAUAUAUAUAUAUAUAUGUAGCGAAAUUGGAACAUAUCUUGUUUUUGUGUAAUUACCUUCAUGUCUGAACGUGAAUUUCCAAUUGUCAUAUGUAAUAAUAAACUACGACUACUAUGCCCUUAAUUAUGUUUUUUUUUUGAAAGGGUCCUGAGGUUGUACUACGUACGAACUCUUUUCUAAAUCCCAUUUUUAAAUAAAUAAUGGGAUUAAUGGAAGCAGUACGAUCAAUGAAAAAUAAAUAAUAAUUUCUUUGUUU